Molecule: ribosomal RNA, 497 nt
Filed under: uncultured bacterium
Lineage: Bacteria
Description: partial 16S ribosomal RNA
Rfam family: Bacterial small subunit ribosomal RNA
Source: RNAcentral
GAUGAACGCUGGCGGCGUGCCUAAUACAUGCAAGUCGAGCGAACGGACGAGAAGCUUGCUUCUCUGAUGUUAGCGGCGGACGGGUGAGUAACACGUGGAUAACCUACCUAUAAGACUGGGAUAACUUCGGGAAACCGGAGCUAAUACCGGAUAAUAUUUUGAACCGCAUGGUUCAAAAGUGAAAGACGGUCUUGCUGUCACUUAUAGAUGGAUCCGCGCUGCAUUAGCUAGUUGGUAAGGUAACGGCUUACCAAGGCAACGAUGCAUAGCCGACCUGAGAGGGUGAUCGGCCACACUGGAACUGAGACACGGUCCAGACUCCUACGGGAGGCAGCAGUAGGGAAUCUUCCGCAAUGGGCGAAAGCCUGACGGAGCAACGCCGCGUGAGUGAUGAAGGUCUUCGGAUCGUAAAACUCUGUUAUUAGGGAAGAACAUAUGUGUAAGUAACUGCGCACAUCUUGACGGUACCUAAUCAGAAAGCCACGGCUAACUACGUG